GAAUUAAUGUUUUACUAAAACAGACACCCCCAUUUUUGAAAAGAUUAUUUUAUUUUAUGAUGAUUAGAACAACUUUCUAACAUUAACUGACACAUGUCGAUGACCACCUAGUCAGUAAAGGGCGUUACUGUGAGUGAAUGAACAAACGAGGAAACUUCUGUAGUCUCUGCCCGCGCAUGCGCAAUCAAUAAUAAACCGCUGCCAGCAGAGCCAGGUACAACGUAUUAACGUGUCCGUUCCUCAUCAUUCACAGGUACUAUUUGUAACUAUUCCUAAACAUUCUUAAAGAUGAAAGUAAUGUGAACUGUCUGUGACAUUAUAGUAACAUUUUGAGAGAACUUGAUCCGAGUUCUGAUAAAUAUCUCUUUUGUUUUGCCGAGUCGAAUAACGGCUACCGUUAGUUCUUUAACGGCUGGAUUACAGAGAGCACACGGGAUGUACCGAUGUGCAUGUAAAAGAGAAUAUAGUGUCCGUUUUAUGUUUACUUUUUGUGUCUGAGCCAAUGGCUGAAGUAAUGUGAACUGUCUGUGACAUUAUAGUAACAUUUUGAGAGAACUUGAUCCGAGUUCUGAUAAGUAUCUCUUUUGUUUUGCCGAGUCGAAUAACGGCUACCGUUAGUUCUUUAACGGCUGAAUUACAGAGAGCACACGGGAUGUACCGAUGUGCAUGUAAAAGAGAAUAUAGUGUCCGUUUUAUGUUUACUUUUUUGUAUCUGUCUUUGGUGAUGGGAAGUUAUUAUUUUGAUGAACAUUAAGCUUAUUUUGCAAUGAAAGACAUAUACACUCAGAGACAGACACAUGUAAUGGGUUAUUACGUUGCACUUUAUUUUAUUUUACAAGAGUAUUUGUUUGUAUUACUCAGGUUAUUAACAAUAUUGUAAACUAAGAGGUCAAUUGUAUUUUGAGCUGUUUUGAAGUUAAAGACUGACAGUGUAUUUUGACAUGAAUACUAUCCCCAUGUUAUGAUGUUUUGUGAUAUUCUCAAAGCAAGGAUAGUUUGAUAUUUGUGUUUAAAUGGAAUGACUGAAUGUUUAAGAUUGUUGGAAUCAAUAAUAAACCGCUGCCAGCAGAGCCAGGUACAACGUAUUAACGUGUCCGUUCCUCAUCAUUCACAGGUACUAUUUGUAACUAUUCCUAAACAUUCUUAAAGAUGAAAGUAAUGUGAACUGUCUGUGACAUUAUAGUAACAUUUUGAGAGAACUUGAUCCGAGUUCUGAUAAAUAUCUCUUUUGUUUUGCCGAGUCGAAUAACGGCUACCGUUAGUUCUUUAACGGCUGGAUUACAGAGAGCACACGGGAUGUACCGAUGUGCAUGUAAAAGAGAAUAUAGUGUCCGUUUUAUGUUUACUUUUUGUGUCUGAGCCAAUGGCUGAAGUAAUGUGAACUGUCUGUGACAUUAUAGUAACAUUUUGAGAGAACUUGAUCCGAGUUCUGAUAAGUAUCUCUUUUGUUUUGCCGAGUCGAAUAACGGCUACCGUUAGUUCUUUAACGGCUGAAUUACAGAGAGCACACGGGAUGUACCGAUGUGCAUGUAAAAGAGAAUAUAGUGUCCGUUUUAUGUUUACUUUUUUGUAUCUGUCUUUGGUGAUGGGAAGUUAUUAUUUUGAUGAACAUUAAGCUUAUUUUGCAAUGAAAGACAUAUACACUCAGAGACAGACACAUGUAAUGGGUUAUUACGUUGCACUUUAUUUUAUUUUACAAGAGUAUUUGUUUGUAUUACUCAGGUUAUUAACAAUAUUGUAAACUAAGAGGUCAAUUGUAUUUUGAGCUGUUUUGAAGUUAAAGACUGACAGUGUAUUUUGACAUGAAUACUAUCCCCAUGUUAUGAUGUUUUGUGAUAUUCUCAAAGCAAGGAUAGUUUGAUAUUUGUGUUUAAAUGGAAUGACUGAAUGUUUAAGAUUGUUGGAAUCAAUAAUAAACCGCUGCCAGCAGAGCCAGGUACAACGUA
Fundulus heteroclitus (mummichog) is the source of this 1946-nucleotide long non-coding RNA. RefSeq lists it as uncharacterized. The transcript is spliced from 2 exons. The record is from RefSeq and is a predicted model, not a curated record. NCBI's taxonomy places the organism in Eukaryota, Metazoa, Chordata, Actinopteri, Cyprinodontiformes, Fundulidae.